RNAcentral lists this small nuclear RNA (77 nucleotides) under Nomascus leucogenys (northern white-cheeked gibbon). RNAcentral describes it as "U4 spliceosomal RNA". It matches the Rfam family "U4 spliceosomal RNA", at positions 1 to 81 of the family's 138-position model. Rfam says of the family: U4 small nuclear RNA (U4 snRNA) is a component of the major U2-dependent spliceosome. The structure of U4 snRNA from yeast and human has been reported. U4 snRNA presents a k-turn RNA motif in the 5p-SL related to recognition of Snu13 protein. The record is from Rfam by way of RNAcentral. Lineage: Eukaryota; Metazoa; Chordata; Mammalia; Primates; Hylobatidae.
AGCUUUGCGCAGUGGCAGUAUCGUAGCCAAUGAGGUCUAUCCGAGGCGCGAUUAUUGCUAAUUGUAUUUUCCCAUUC